CGGAUGAAUGAGGAACUAGAGAGCGGCGGACGGGUGAGUAACGCGUGGGUAACCUGCCCUAUGGAGGGGGAUAACUAAGAGAAAUUUUAGCUAAUACCGCAUAAGCACACAGGAUCACAUGAUCUAGGGUGAAAAACUCCGGUGCCAUAGGAUGGACCCGCGUAAGAUUAGCUAGUUGGUGAGGUAAUGGCUCACCAAGGCGACGAUCUUUAGCCGACCUGAGAGGGUGAUCGGCCACAUUGGGACUGAGACACGGCCCAAACUCC
Molecule: ribosomal RNA, 266 nt
Filed under: uncultured bacterium
Lineage: Bacteria
Description: partial 16S ribosomal RNA
Rfam family: Bacterial small subunit ribosomal RNA
Source: RNAcentral